RNAcentral lists this ribosomal RNA (482 nucleotides) under uncultured bacterium. Its description in RNAcentral is "partial 16S ribosomal RNA". It matches the Rfam family "Bacterial small subunit ribosomal RNA", at positions 28 to 507 of the family's 1533-position model. The record is from RNAcentral.
GAUGAACGCUAGCGGCAGGCCUAAUACAUGCAAGUCGGACGGGAUUCAGGAGCUUGCUUCUGAUGAGAGUGGCGCACGGGUGCGUAACACGUAUGUAACCUACCUUUAUCAGGGGGAUAGCCUCUCGAAAGAGAGAUUAAGCCCGCAUAAAAUCACAGCACAGCAUUGUGUAAUGAUCAAAUAUUUAUAGGAUAAAGAUGGGCAUGCGGAACAUUGGCUAGAUGGCGGGGUAACGGCCCACCAUGGCGACGAUGUUUAGGGGAUCUGAGAGGAUGGCCCCCCACACUGGUACUGAGACACGGACCAGACUCCUACGGGAGGCAGCAGUAAGGAAUAUUGGUCAAUGGGCGGAAGCCUGAACCAGCCAUGCCGCGUGCAGGAAGACGGCCCUACGGGUUGUAAACUGCUUUUAUACGGGAAUAAACCCAGAUACGUGUAUCUGGCUGAAUGUACUGUAAGAAUAAGGAUCGGCUAACUCCGUG